This 20708-nucleotide long non-coding RNA is filed under the name Solanum tuberosum (potato). RNAcentral's name for it is "long non-coding RNA (STUB_LNC000317)". Lineage: Eukaryota; Viridiplantae; Streptophyta; Magnoliopsida; Solanales; Solanaceae. The record is from RNAcentral.
UUCGAUUUUGAUUUCUCUUAGCUGAAUAUAAUCUGAUUAUGUAUGAAUUCUAAAGUAUAUUCUAAGUUGAUUUCCUGAUUGUAACUCGCUACGGUUCUCAUUUUAGUCUCCAUAGUUUUAUCUUGAUUAGUUUCGAAUUAUUCCACUCGUCUUAGUUUUAUUCCUACCUUUUAUACAUUUACGACCUUGAUUAGUGUCCAAUAUCAUGGGUUUUGCCUCUCUUCACGCUUAAUUUGGAUGCGUGUGUUUGUUUUGAUAUAUCCUUCUACUUGUUUGAUUGUCGUUUUAACGAGAUUACCUCUCCCUUUUUUUCAUAACCCUAAGGCAUUUAGUUCGUCUUGACAUAACUUAUUACAUAAGUAUAAAAUGGCGUUUCCGUUAAGUUUCAUCUUAAGUUGCGAAAUAUUUAUGAGCUCAUUGGAAGUUUGCUUCAAUAUUUACUAAGAGUAGUGUGCGAUUCUUUUGUUUAUUUUUUUUGUGAUUUCUGGUUGAUUUUCUCAUUUUAUACAUGACAUGAUUCGAUGCCAAUGGCUAUUUUCGUUCGGAAAGUGACAAGGUUCUGAUUCUAAGAUUGUUUCUUCUUCCUUAAAUACAAUGGUCAUUUUCAGUAAUGGUAUGUGGUUUGACAUGGCUGUUGCAUUUGGGUCAAUAAUGUGAUCAUUUUAUUGUGUAAGUUUUAGCCAUCUGAUUAUUGACAAUCCUUAUUUGAAUAAUCGGCAUCCCCUUUACUGUUUCUUUCUCUGUUCCUUUGAAAAUUAUUGUUUAAGCUUACUAUGUUCCCCGUAUCUGUUGAGUGUUGUAAUAGGACUCAUAUAUACUUGAUUACAUUCAUAAUGUAUAGAUUAAGUUCACCAUCUAAGGUUCCAAUCAUUAUCCAAAAUGUGCUUUGUCCAGAAUAGUUUGUAUUCCUCUUUGGACUAACAAAUGAAAAGAAUUGGUAACAAUUUUGUUAUGCUAGAUGUGACCUUCUUUCUGUAUAAUUGGUUGUUGAAAUUUAUAGACUUUUAUCUUUUAAUCUUAUGAGCAUUAACUUGAAGUAAACAAACUUUACUAUUAAGUAUUGGUUUGAAUGGUCAUUCACAUUUUGAAGUAGAGCUGACUAGGAAUUAAACUUAUAAGAUUUAAUACCAUGAAUGACCAAUAUCUCAUUAACAACAGUUUGCAUGCUUGACUCGGUUUGAUGACUAGUUUUUUUAGUGAUGGGGCUGGUAGAACUUUUCUAUUUCAUAAUAUGUAGAGAUAGUAUCACGUGCCCCCCAUGAAAUUGCGCUUAAGGAUGAUAUUGUUUCCAAGCAUGCAUGAGAGGAUAUAGACACAUUUUAGUUUUGUAAUUGAGGACAUCUUUUUUUGGCAUGCCAUGACUAGUUCUAUAUAUGAGUGUAUUACAUCUGACUUGCUUAUGAUCCUUAGAAGCAUAAUACUCAUUAUUUAUUUAAUUCAUCUGGAAUUAAGACACUAAUCUUUAUCUCUUUAUUUUUCUUAUGUUUCGUGUACAACCGGAGAGCUGGAGUUUCCACUUUGGAACUCGUUAUUGGCCUAAAAUAUCAGGCCAACAGCAAUUAGGAUCAUCGUAAUACUUGGAGUCUCAUAAAUAGGAGUCCAACAUUUCUUAGCCUUUCCUUUUUCGAGUUUGAUUAUAUUAUUUUGAUAUGUUGACUAACCUUUACUUAUGCCUACAUAACUCUUAAGUUUUCGAUACAUUGCUUGUCUUUUUAUUUGAAGAUUAUUUAUGUGAGAUAAUAUUAUUUGUUUGUGAAUUUUGUGGAAAUACUUUUAGAAUAAAUGAUACAAAAUAUUAUAUUUUUUUGAAAAUGGGUUAGCAUUUUUACCUGUAACAUUCUUUUCAGCCUUUUCAAACUGAGGAAAAAGGAACUCAUGGUUUAAGAGUUUUUCAAAGGAUGUUUCAAAAGAGCUAAAAUAAUAUUCAUUUAGGCUUAAUUCAUCGCUUAGGACCUCCAAAUAAAUUUGAAACUAGAUUAAAGGCUAGAAUAAUUACCUUUAGAGAUUACUUAAGGUUAAGAUAUUUACAUUUAGACAUACAUAUUUUUAAAACAAGUAGGGAAGUAGGCCCUUAUAUUUUAUUAGCAAAAAGUAAAAAAUGUAAGUUAUAAGUUAAGUCGCACUAGUUAGGCCUAUUUCAUAUUCUUUUACAUCUCCCAUAUCCCCUUAGACAUUUGAUAAUUAUUUAACUUAGACGAUACUUUCUAAUUAGGUUAUUCGUUAAUAUUUUAUUUAUAAAAGCAUAACUUUUUUUUUCCAAAGAAGUCUAAGUUGGAGUAAUAUUUUCAAAUAUUAUAUACCUAUUUUAUAAACCAAGUGUUUAAAGUUUAAGUUUAAAAAUACAUACUUUGAGAGUUUAAAUCCAAAAAGUUCUUUUAAAAUAUUACUUUCAAAAGGAAAAGAAACAUUAUUUUAGAAAGGGCCAAAACAAAUGUUAUUAAGUUUUGUAGAAUUAUUACUUUUGUCUUAAAGAUACAUACGACUUAGAUUUUUUUUUUUAAAAGUAGGACCAAAGUAUUUCAAGUUCAAAUUUGCAAAAAGAAUAUUUUUCUUAGGGAUAAGGGUCUGAAAAAUACCCCAACUUUGGUCGGAUUUGCUUUUGCGAUACUAAACUUUCAUAAGGACUUAUUACCUUCCUAGACUAUUUAAUUCCAUAUUUUUUACCCCCUGAACUAUUUAAUAGUAUGUUUUAAAGGUAUAUAUGUGCCCACGUGGACACAUUACUAUUUAUAAUUUUGCAUUAUUUUUUAUGUCCACGUGGACAAAUAUAUAUGUUUAAAAUACGGUAUUAAAUAGUCUAGGGAGGUAAUAGGUCCUCAUUAAAGUUUAGUAUCGCAACAUCAAAUCCUACCAAAGUUGUGGUAUUUAUAAGACCCUUAUCUCUUUUUCUUACUUAUACAUAUUUAUCACUACUCAUUUCCAUUUUUUUUAGCACAAAUGCUCCUCGUGCUAUUAUGAAUUUCCCAACUUGUUUUCUUUGUUUAAAAAAGAAAGGGCUCGUGAAAAAAAAAAAACUUAUACAAGUUUAUUCAUUUAGCCUAAGUUUGACAUUUAUUAGUUUUAAUAAUUCCUUAAAAGGAUCCUUAACCUUUCCCUUUAGGAUAAUCAAAAUCUGUCGCCUAGAAUUACAUAAUUUAAAUAGACCAAUAAGAGUUACUUUAGCAUUAUUUAAUUCAAUAUUUAGAUGUCCUAAUUCAUUAUCUUUGAAAAUGGUUAGGCGAUUUUUUUACUUCCUUUUAAAACUAAAGGUAGAAGAAUAAAGAUUUGGGGUGGGACGCAAAUAAUUAGGCUUAUUUUAUUUUAUUUACAUCACCCCUCAUUGAAAAAAUAAUAAUUUUGCUAUUUCACUUUUCCAAUCCAAUAUUGUCAAAAACAUUUUAAUUUCUUAACAUGUUAUUUCAAGACUUUAGAUAUGUCAACAGGUUCAAAAUACAAGGUACAUACAUUUAUAUGUCAUACACAUAAAGGUAUAAAAUUCUAUAUUUUUUUUUAAUUUUCUCUAUACGUAACUUGUUAUUUUGUUACACUUACAUAUUAUUUUUUCUCUGUCACUUUACAAAUGAUACUUAUUCUUUUUUUAUAAUUUAUAAAUCCCUACACUCUAAUAUACACAUUAUUUUACUAUAUAUUUACACCCAACUAUUAUCUUAUUUAAUUUUAUUUUUCUUUACAUCUCAAUUCUAUAUAUAAAUAAAACGAUAAAUUUUCAUAUCUUUUAAACUCAACAUUUAUUUUUGAUACAUUUAUAUAAGACACCUCUAUAUUUUUCAACAUAUAAAAAUUGUCAUACAUUUUUAGUACAUUUAUUUAUUUAUUUAUUACCGUAUAAUAAACAUACUACUAUUAAUUUUAUAGACAUAUAUAUGUCGUACCUUGUAUUUUACUCUUUUCUUAAAUACCGUAUAAUAAACAUACUACUAUUAAUUUUAUUGACAUAUAUAUGUCGUACCUUGUAUUUUAAUCUUUUCUUAAAAUGAUAAAAUUUACUUACCAUUGAGUUUAAAGAAAAAAUAAAUAAACAUGUUUUCCUAACUAUAUUGUUCUAAAUUGAGUUUAAGGACUAUCUUCGGAUAGACUCUGAGGGCUGCUUAAUACCUUCCCUUCGAGUAACCAAAACCCUUACUCAGAAUCUCACUGGAUUCGCAAAUCAAAACAGAGUUUACAUUUACAUAUUAAAAAAUGGUUUUCCUAAUAUUUUCCUUAAAAUUUAGGUGGCGACUCUAAAAUAAAAACAAUUUUUCUUUCAAAAUCAGAGUGUCGGCCAUAUUACGUUGUGAACUAUUUCGAUCAGUUCGAAAUAGGGUGCGACAGCCUGACGACUCUGCUGGGGACUUUCUUAGGUUUUAACCUUAGAAAAACUCAAUUUAUGAACAACAUUUGUGAUUACGUGUUUAUUUUUCAGCUUGCUAUUGAUAUAUUGCUUUGACUGAAAGGACGCAAGUGAAAUUCAAACUUGUGUUUCGUAUUUGUUUUAAAACACUACUUGUUAUUGCUUUCCCUACAUUGUCAUUUGCACAUUCUAUCAAGUCUUGACCGUACACGCACACACUGUACACGCGAGGGGUGUUUCUCUGCUGGGGACUUACUUAGGUUUUAACCUUAGAAAAACUUAAUUUAGGAAUAACAUUUGUGAUUACGUGUUUAUUUUUCAGCUUGCUAUUGCUAUAUUGCUUUGACUGAAAUGACGCAAGUGAAAUCCAAACUUGUGUUCCUUAUUUGUUUUAAAACACUACUUGUUACUUCUUUUCCUACAUUGUUAUUUGCACAUUCUAUUGAGUCUUUGCCGUACACGCACACACUGUACAUGCGAGGGGUGUUCCUGCACUCCUCUGAAACUCUCUUUGGAUUCCUUAGUUUCAGAGUUGGUGCAAUUAAGAUAGUGCGCCUUCUCGCAAUUACUCAGUCCCACUCUCAAUCAUCUAGGAAAAAAAUCUUACUCUUAAAAUAUGUCAUGUUGCAUAGCCUUAGGCAAGACAAUAUACGGUAUUAUCGUUGCGUUUAGGAAACCACCCAAAUGUCAAUGAGUUUCUUCUUUAAAACUCGACGACAUAAACUAUGUGUGGAAUCGAUAUAAAUUAUCCAAACUUAAACACUUAACGGAUUUGGAGCAAAUAAACUUAUUACACCAUUUACCCUCUUUACAGAUGAACCUCAACCAAGACUUGCCGGAUAUCCAAAUGGUCGUUUCACCGCCCCGCAUUCUACAGAAUUGGUGGCAAAAUAUCUAGAGGAUACACGGGGCUGAGAUUUGAGGGCACUUAGGAGCAUUGUUGUCACUUCUGGGGACACGGUGUGGGAAGGUGUUUGCCACUCAGUUAAUGGGGUUUUAGGAACCGAGCACCGUAACUUUCAAAUUCCUGGAUUUUGAGAUCACUCCUACACUAGAGGAGUUCAGUAGUCUUACCGAGCUACCGAUUAGAUGGAGGCUACCGAUGAUCCCGUCAACUAUCUGUACUGGUCAUUUUCUAAGUCUCAUUGAUCUACAUAUAUUUCGGUCAUUGAGAUAUGUGGACGGCGGAUAGGUUGAAUUAGACUAUCUCUUUCAGAGGUUUGGGCGUUCAGAAGGUUACUAUGAAUAUCAGCGUGAAUUUGAAUGUACUCGCGGAGCGUGGGAACAUAUGAGGCUGAGAGUAUUCGUUAUGGCUUUCCUGGGAGUUAUGGUGUUCUCGAUAAGGUCCGAUUCUGUUGAUAUCAACAUAUUGCCGAUGGUUAUAAACAUCUUCAACGAUCCAGAACGAUUUUCUUUAGUGCCCAUGAUCCUCGCCGAAGUUCUUCGUUCGAUGACAGCCUGCAUUAGGGGAACAACUUCUUCGGGGGAUGCAGUAUGCUACUACAAAUCUGGGCGAGAGAACAUUUCUAUUGUCGUGAUCCACAAAUAGAUUUCUACAUGGGUGCACGUAACAUGAUCGAAAGCCAUGAAGAUUAUCUCUAAAAUUGGGUGGGCGCGCCGAUAGGAAGGGAAGAGUGGCGCACAUUCCUGAACAACCUUACAGGAGAUGCCAUCCAAUGGAAGUCUUCUUGGAUAAGAGGAGUGGCGUUUGCGAGGACCCGAUAUUUUUUCUUUAUCGAGUUAAUUGGGCUGAGGGAAAUUUAACCAUAUGCACCUCUUCGGGUUAUUCGGCAAUUUGGAGUCAUCCAAGACAUUUCUCUAUGGUCAAUCAUGGGGUCACAUGAAUAUGCUUUCACUUCAGUCUCGCUUGAACUGAUAAGAAAUCUGCAAGCCUAGUGGGAAUACACGAUCAAUUUGGAAAUAAGAGAGGCAAAAUGGUGCACACCGGAGUAUUACACUUGGCGGAAUACUGUGAGUCAUGGCUCAUGCAAGCGUACGCGGGCACCGGGGGUUUGUAGACAACCAACAGAUUGAUUGAAUUAGAGAAUUGGUGCUUCCUCGCAUGGGAUUCACCACAUCUAUGUAUAAUUAGAUUUUUCCUGGAUCCAUUGACUAUUUGAUUCAGGUUGAAGAAGAAGAAGAAGAAAAUGAAGAAGACCUGAAAGAGGAUCCCGAAGAAGACCCAGAGGAGGACCCAGAAGAAGAGGUAGAGGUAGACUACAUGGAGGUUUCUGAAUCAGGUUCUAACAUCUAUGACCCAAGAGAUGGAGGGGUAAUAAACAUGUCUCUCGAACGCAGCCCCAACGAGUCUCCAGAGUACCACCCAGGGCUAUAUUAUGAUGGGGACGAUGAUGAUGAUGAUGCUCCAACAUGGUCGUAGAUUCGUCUUUCUUCUUUGAACUCUUUUUAUAAGCUCCUCAAAGUGUCAUGUGGCCUAUCCCUCUUGUAUGCCUUUUGGCCCCCCGUAUUUUCAGUUCUUAGGUUUCUGAUUGCCUACCUCAAUGUAACAAUCAAGACUACCUUAAUCAAUGAAGUUAUGUUUGCUCCAAAAUAUAAAAUGUGUUUAAAUGGAUAAUUUAUUAUCAAACUGAUUGCAACGUAGGCCUACCUAAGGCAAAAAGAGGUUCUGCAUUAGGACGCGUUUUGAAUGUCGCCAAAUUGGCAUAUAUAUGUGUUACACUUAUAUAUUUGUUACAUCUUUCAAUAUUUUCCAAACUAACAUUAGUUUCCUUUUUCUUUGUUUUCUUUUCUUUUUCAUCAUUUAUCCCCAAAAGUACGUUUAUUUGUGUCGACUUGCAAACUGGCUAACUCACGAUACAACCUUCGAUAAAAAAUAAAGAUGACUGAUAAAGACGACUUCAACGCUGCUGCAAACAUAAUGAUACCUAUUGAGAACCCAGAAGGUUCUCGAAACAUGAUAUACAUCCAAAAUGAAGAGAAAAUGGCUUGCAUGGAGCAAGAACUCGAGAUCUUGAGAGUGGAAUUACACCAAGUGCAAGACUUGGCCAAACUGUCAGCUACCACUUUCCCUACUUUCAAGACGCCUAUCUACUUCGCCAAAGCUGACUUGCCUUCUGCCGACUUGCCAAAUCAGCUAGAACAAACUCAACACGCUCCAACUCACGGUCGAGUUCCACCAGCUUCUCCAACCGCAAUUAGGACCGUUCUCAACCUUUCCAAUCACGACCCUACCAUACCAACAAUGCAACAGAUACUUGGGGCACAUGUCGCCGCUCCCUAUGAGCCAUAUGUUCCACCCGUAUAUGGCGCUGAAGCUCCUACCUUCACAAUACCAGCAAAGAUUAAUAUCCCGUAUGAGGUCGAUCAAUAUGCAGAAAUGGAGAAAGAUACCCAGCUAAAAGAAGAUGCAUCGAUAAAUGCCCAACUUCAGGGUCUAAGAAAGGCAUUGAAAAGCCUACACGUUACUAAAGGAAUGGAGAGUCUGGAUUAUGAUGACUUGUGCAUCCACCCAAACGUUGACAUGCCGGUAGGGUACAAACCACCGAAGUUUGACAUGUUCGAUGGAAAAUGUGACUUUCAUGCACAUUUAACGGCAUACUGUGACAAGUUAGUCGGUGUAGGGAGGAAUGAGAAGCUGAGGAUGAAGUUGUUCAUCCGGAGUCUGUCUGGAGAAGCAUUAACCUGGUAUACCCGCCAAGACCCUCGCAAAUGGCGAGACUGGUAGGAAAUGGCUGAAGACUUCAUGAAUCGUUUCAAAUUGAAUAUUGAAAUUACUGCUAACAGAUUUUCAUUAUCCAACAUACAGAAGAAGCCAUCAGAGAAUUUCCAGGAGUACGCACAACGUUGGAGAACCGAACCCGCAAGGGUGCAACCAUCACUAGAUGAAAGUGAGCUUUCAAAGUACUUUAUUCGAGCUCAAGAAGGUGUCUACUUUGAAAAGAUGAUGUCAAUGAUGGGCCAGAAGUUUGCAGAAUUGGUCAAGAUGGGAGACUUUAUAGAGGAGGGUGUUAAAUCUGGGAAGAUCCAGUCUAUGGUCGCAUUGCUAGCUACAAGUAGGGCUUUAAAAACGGGUUCCUUUGGUGGCAUAAAAAAGAAAAGGGAGGAUGUUUCAGCUGUCACUUACCAACAAGGAGGACCGUCCCACCGAUACCCUAGUAAUCCCUAAAUCGUUGUGCAUACUUCAUACGUCGCAUACCCAAUAUAUAAUAGCCAACCACACUAUAAUCCACCCCGAGCACCAGCAUACCAAAAUCCUCCAAGACCAUAUGUCCCUGUCCAAGCACCAAUCCACCAGAAUAGACCAGCAUAUGCACCGAGACCACGUCCAAAUUUUGAAGCUAGAAAUGCUCGAACUUACACACCGAUUGCCGAACCCUACGCCCAAUUGUUUGAAAGGUUGAGGACAGCGGGAGUGCUGCAACCAGUUGAAGGAAAACUUCCUGAUCCAAUCCCUCGUAAUUUUAAUGGAAACAAGCGAUGCGCUUACCACUCGGGAAUCCAAGGACACGACAGAGAAGAUUGUUAUGGGUUAAAGAACCAGAUCGAGUCUUUAAUCAGAAGAGGAGUAAUCAAUGCACUCCAGUGCCUCCUAAUGUGAAUAACAACCCUUUGCCAAACCAUGAGAAUUGGGAAGUCAACAUGGUUACUUUUGAUGAAGAAUAUGGGGGCCCUAAUUGUCCAGACAUAGAUGAACCAGAUGCCAUGACAUCUUUGGCUCAAUAUGUUAUCACUGUUCAACUAAGGGAACCUCUGACUGUCCAAACAUAUCUCCCAAGAGUUCUAAUGACCACUCUAAGUGCUAGAAAGCCUGAAUAUGACACCAAAGCAAUCCCUUGGGACUGUCGAGCAGACGCCAAGGGCAAGAUGAUCGACACUGCCGUAGCUCAAGGGAUGACUAGGUUGGGGAGGUGUUAUGCCCCACAGGACCUAAAUCAAAGAGUUCUCGGAAAAGAACAUAAUCCAAAGAAGAAUGUUACCGAUGCUGAAGCCGCAGAGUUUUGGAAGAAGAUGCAGUCUAAAGACUAUUAAGAACAGAAUCCAUAGAAGAAUGUUACCGAUGCUGAAGCCGCAGAAUUUUGGAAGAAGAUGCAGCCUAAAGACUAUUCAGUCGAAGAGCAGCUGAAGAAGACGCCUGCCCACAUAUUUAUUUUGUCUCUGCUUAUGAGUUCUGAAGCUCAUAGGAAUGCUUUGAUAGAAGUGUUAGACGGAGUGAAUAUUCUAAAAAAGAUCACUAGUGAAACCUUAGCUUCAACGAUUGGAAGAAUAGUGGAUGCUAACAAGAUUUCUUUCCAUGAUGAUCAACAAAGCGCUUCACAUCGCAGUAACGUGUUGUGAUAAGGUUGUGACUCGAGUUCUAAUUGAUGGUGGUUCUGGAUGCAAUAUCUAUCCUUUCACCACUCUGAAGGAAUUAGGUAUUAAUAUGGGAGAGAUAAAGGAAAAUCCUAUGAAAGUUAGAGCUUUUGAUGGAGCGCAAAGAAGUGUCAUUGGAGAGAUCUAUCUCUCAUUGCAGGUGGGACCGGCUGAAUUCCCCAUCCUAUUUCAAGUGAUGGAUGUAUCAUGCAACUACAACCUGUUGCUGGGAAGACCAUGGAUUCACAUGGCAAGAGCGGUUCCUUCCACUCUUCACCAAUGUGUAAAGUUUUAGUGGGGUCACACAGAAGUUACCAUCCACGGAGAGCUCAGUCACCCCAUCCUUUCUGUUAAUUCUAUCCAGUCGCUGACGAGUUAGACGGAGCCACCUUUCACACUUUGGAAAUUAUGCAAGCUAUAAGGUUCAGUGAGGAAGCAGAGGGAGGUAAUACAAAGUUGUCAAGUGCGGCGAAAAUGGUUGCGUCAGCUAUGUUGAAGUAUGGAUAUCAGACUAAGAAUGAACUUGGACCUAAGUCCAAUGGCAUAGUUGAGCCGAUCCAGCUGAAGCAUUAGAGAGGCACCAACAGACUCAGAUAUGAGCCUGCCUCGGGAAGAGACCGUUACGGGUCAAGCGAUACAAUCUUUGUACCAAAACAAGCUUUGAUUCCAGAUCAAGCCGGUGUUGAUGACAUCAUGGAAGGAAUAGGCAAUCUGUUCAUGGCCAUGGCUGGAGAAGAAGCAGGGAUAAAUCUCAACAAGUUGACCAUUCGUAAUGCCGAACCUGGAGAAAUCUUGCAGAAUUGGACCAUCAUCCCGUCCCUGUUUCAACCAGAGUUCUGGUAGUGUGGAAAAGUAGUCUUGAUUUUAAAAUUCGCAUGAUCAAAUUGAGGCUUGAAUCAUGCCUAAUAUUUUGUUGCUUGCCUCUUCUAAAAGUUAGAAUGCUUUGAAAUAAAAAGUCUUUAUUUUCUUUGAAAAAUUUCUCGUUAUUCUAAAUAUCUAUUUAUUUUUACUUACCUUUUUCCCUUUUCAGCACUCAUAUUAAUAAAUAUCCUCGUUCAAUGGUUAUGACAUAUAAAGAAUCCACCGAGCAAGGUGAAAGCGAUGAGAAAGAUCACGAAGAGUACGAUGAAAGCAUGAUGCCGGAAAAUCUGCCACAUGAGAUCGAGCAAGUUGAAAGUUAGAAAAAACCCAAUAUGGAUUAAACAGAGGUUGUCAACUUGGGCGAUGAGGAAAUCGUGAAGGAAACAAGAGUCAGGAUACAUUUGGAGGCUGAAAGAAAGCAAGAGUUAAUGGAGUUGCUUUAGCAAUAUGUUGACGUAUUUGCUUGGUCUUAUGAUGACAUGUCAGGAUUAAGCACUGAUAUUGUCUCACACAAAUUACCGACUGAUCCCACUUGUCUUCCCGUUAAGCAAAAGACAAGAAAAUUCAAGCCAGAUUUGAGUUUAAGGAUCAAGGAGGCAAAUUGAGGCGAACGUUGUAAGGGUUACAAAUUACCCCACAUGGUUAGCCAAUAUUGUGCCAGUGCCAAAAAAGGAUGGAAAGAUCAGAAUAUGUGUAGACUAUCGAGAUCUCAACAGGGCCAGUCCUAAGGGUGAUUUCCCUCUUCCGAAUAUUCAUAUACUCAUCGAUAAUUGUGCAAUACAUGAGUUGUAAUCAUUUAUCGAUUGCUUUGCAAGAUAUCACCAAAUCCUGAUGGAUGAAGAUGAUGCGGAGAAGAUAGCGUUUAUCACUCCAUAGGGAGUGUACUACUACAGAGUAAUGCCAUUUGGUCUAAAAAAUGCCGGUGCAAUCUACAUGAGGGCCAUGACUACCCAUUUUCACGAAAUGAUCCACAAAGAAAUUGAAGUGUACGUGGAUGACGUCGUUAUCAAAUCCAAAAGAAGUUCAGACCACCUGAAUGACUUACGAAAGUUCUAUGAGAGGUUGCUUAAGUAUAUUCUAAAGUUGAAUCCAGCAAAGUGUGCAUUUGGAGUACCCACGGGAAAACUAUUGGGAUUCAUCGUUAGCAGGAAAGGCAUAGAGUUGGAUCCAUCAAAGAUAAAAGGCAAUCCAAGAGCUACAUCCACCCAAGACCAGGAAGGACAUAAUGAGUUUCUUGGGAAGACUGAAUUACAUCAGUCAGUUCAUAGCUCAAUCCACAGUGAUCUGUGAACCCAUAUUCAAGUUACUGAAGAAGGAUGCUGCCACGAAAUGGACCGAGGAAUGCCAAAGGGCUUUCGAUAGAAUCAAAGAAUACAUGUCCAACCCACCAGUAUUGGUCCCACCAGAGCCUGGAAAGCCUUUGUUAUUGUAUCUAUCUGUCAUGCAUAAUGCAUUUGGAUGUGUAUUGGGACAGCAUGAUGAGACAGGUAGAAUAGAGAAAGCUAUUUACUAUUUGAGCAAGAAGUUCACACCAUACGAGGCAAGAUACAAACAUGUUGCGCUUUGACUUGGAUUGCGCAAAAAUUUAGGCAUUACCUGUCUGCAUACACCACGUACUUGAUCUCAAGAAUGGAUCCCCUAAAGUACAUCUUUCAGAAUCCCAUGCCUACGGGUAAACUGGCGAAGUGGCAAAUUUUGUUGAGCGAGUUUGAUAUUGUGUAUGUGACAGAGAAGGCCAUCAAGGGACAAGCCCUAGCUGAUCACCUCACAAAAAAUCUGGUGGACUAGGAUUACAAGCCACUCACGACCUACUUCCCUGAUGAAGAGGUGUUAUUUGUAGGAGAAAAUAUAUUAGAAUCGUAUGAUAGAUGGAGAAUGUUCUUUGAUGGGGCAUCAAACUCUAUAGGAGUUGGAAUAGGAGCAGUCUUAAUUUCGAAAACAGGUCAGUAUUACCCAAUCUCAACCACGAUUAGGUUCUAUUGUACCAAUAACAUGACGGAAUAUGAAGCUUGUAUUCUCGGACUCAGAAUGGCCAUAGACAUGAAUAUCAAAGAACUCUUGGUGAUAUUAGACUCUGACUUGUUGGUUUAUCAAGUGCAAGGAGAAUGGAACACUAAGAAUGUCAAGAUCCUUCCUUAUUUGCAUUACAUAAAAGAGUUGAGUAGGAGAUCCAUAAGGAUUCAGUUCAAGCAUGUCCCUCGAGCUCAAAAUGAGUUUGCCGAUUCUUUAGAACAUUAUCCUCAAUGAUUCAACAUCCAGACAAGAAUUACAUCGACCCUAUCGAUAUAGAGAUACAUGAUCAACAUGCAUACUGUUUUCAUGUAGAUGAGGAACUGGAUGGAAAACCAUGGUACUAUGACAUUAGAAGGUUGAUAGAAGAACAAGAAUAUCCUGAAAAUGCUACGAGCAAGAAAAAAUAGACUAUGAGGAGGAUGACCAAUCAUUUCUUCCCUAACGGAGAAAUCCUAUAUCGGAGAACUUAAGGUCAGAAGAUUGAUAAAAGCACAAGAAUAUCCUGAAAAUGCUACAAGCAAGCAGAAAUGGACUUCGAGGAGGAUGGCAAAUCAUUUCUUCCUUAACGGAGAAAUCCUAUAUAGGAGAACUUCAGAUUUAGGAUUGCUGAGGUGUGUCGACGCCGCAGAAGCAAUAAGGCUUUUGGAAGAAAUACAUGCAGGAACAUAUGGACCUCACAUGAAUAGGUUCACUUUAGCAAAGAAGAUUUUAAGAUCUGGAUAUUUUUGGAUGACCAUUGAGAGAGAUAGCAUCCGGUAUGUGAAAAAGUGUCAUCAAUGUCAAGUGCAUGGAGAUUUUAUACGGGUUCCAUCGAAUGAGCUUAAUGUGAUGGGUUCCUCUUGGCCAUUUGCCGCUUGGGGCAUAGAUGUUAUUGGACCCAUAGAGCCUCCCACAUCAAAUGGACAUCGUUUCAUCCUGGUGGCUAUCGAUUAUUUCACAAAAUGGGUAGAAGCUUCGACAUACAAGGCAGUGACAAAGAAGGUGGUAGUAGACUUUGUUCGCGACAAUAUAGUUUGUCGGUUUGGAAUUCCAGAAUCAAUCAAAACAGAUAAUGCGGCCAACCUCAACAGCGAUAUUAUGAAGGAAACUUGUGAAAAGUUCAAGAUUGCUCAUCGAAAUUCCACGGUUUACCGUCCACAGAUGAAUAGAGCAGUUGAGGCUGCAAAUAAGAAUAUCAAGAAGAUUUUUAAGGAAAAUAAGUUGGACAGUCACAGGAAAUGGCAUGAGAAGCUACCAUAUGCUUUUACUCGGUUAUCGCACCACAAUCAGAACAUCAACUGGGGCAACUUCUUAUAUGUUGGUUUAUGGUUCGGAAGCAGUAAUACUUGCCGAGGUGGAAAUACCAUCUUUAAGGAUUAUCCAAGAGGUUGGUCUAGACGGUGCGGAAUGGAUACGUAGCAGAAAUGAACAGUUGAUGCUCAUCGAUGAAAAGAGGAUGGACGCGGUUUGUCAUGGACAACUCUAUCAGAAUAGAAUGACCAAAGCGUUUAACAAGAAAGUCAAACCUUGACAGUUCACACCAGGGCAGUUAGUAUUGAAGAAGAUAUUUUCUCACCAAGAAGAAGCCAAAGGGGAAUUUGCACCAAAUUGGCAAGGACCCUACAUGGUUCAUAGAGUACUCUCUGGAGGAGCGGUAAUCUUAGCAGAAAUGGAUGGCAGAGUGAACACAAAGCCAAUCAAUUCAGACGCCAUCAAGAAAUACUACAUCUGAAGACCUCAAGAUUAGUGCUUAUUUCUUGUACUUUUGCAUUUUUGAUAUAACAGAACUACGUCUAGACCUGACUUCCCACAGCGGGGUACGUAGGCAACCCACAUCGGAUCUGGUCUCCCUUAGAAAACCCAAAAUCAUCAUUUCCAUGUAUUUAGAACUACGUUCGACCUGAAUUCCCUCGGUGGGAUACGUAGGCAAUCCUUGUCGGAUUCGGUCAUUUGCAUUUCAUAUUUUUCACUUUCCUUUUGUAUUUGAACUACGUCCUGACCUAAUUCUACUUGGAUACAUAGGCAGCCUGAUUCAGGCCCGGUCAUUGCAUGUCAUAUCUUUCACUCUCCCAUGUCAUAGUUUUCAAAAGAUUUUUCUACUCUUCCACCUACCAAGUCUCUAGGUUAAGAAACUAUGUGCAGGCUAAGAGGACGUCGAAAGAUCCCAGUGACGAAGUUUCAGUCCGCGAGUCGAUACAAAUCAAUACCCCCUCCCAAACUAAAAAUUUUCUUUGAGCGCAGGAACACAUGAAUCAAGAAAAUAUCAUCAAGUCUCAGGGCACGACCGGAGGCCCCACUCGACCUCUACAAUCAUUAGCCAAAAUACUAUUUCCCUACUUUAUUUCCCGGAAGUACUUCAACUUGCAUCUUAUGUCUAAGAAUAUUUUAUUUAAAUUUUUGUAGGUACGCACAAGAUCCAGAUGAAAUGCUGAAGAAAAGAGGGACCUCGUAGGAAAAUAGAAUAGUUAAAUUUCUGUCAAAAUAACUCCACCAACUGGAGCUUGUAAUCUAACCUCAUCAACAACUCCGCCAAUCGGAGACCACCGUCUAACAUCGUCGAACUCCACAAGCCUGGGGUUGUCCAUAACAAAUGUCACUCAAACUCCAUCGAUUCGAGGUUGUACAUAGCAAACAUCAUCAAAUUACGCCAACUGGAGGCUGUACAUAGCAAGCAUCAUCAAACUCCGCCAAUCUGACGCUGUACAUAACGAAUAUCGUCAAACUCCGCCAACCGAAGGCUGUACAUAGCAAACAUCGACCGAACUCCGCCAAUCGGAACCUGUAUAUAAGCAAAGAAGCAACACUCCGCCAAUCAGAGACCACAUCAUAGUGACGUCACUGAAGCUCCACCAACUGGGAGCAUGAAAGCACAAUGACACUUUCAUACACUAACAAUAACAUGUUACAUUACAAGCUUUAUAAAGUCGGAUAUAGGCUUUUGCUUUACAACAGCCCCACUAAGAGGAGGUCUACAUUACAAGCUUUACACAGCCGGAUACAUGCUUUUACAUUACAACAUCCCCGCCAGUCGAGGGCCUUUACAUUACAAGUUACUUUACCUACAUCACAUUCACAACACAAAAAAUAGGGACAUCUACACUGUACUCUUUACAUUCCAAUUUCAAUUUAUAAUUUUUGAACCGCAAUAGGUACUUUUCACCUUUUUACAUGUUUUGCAGGACAAUGCAUUACAACGAGGAACUCCCUCUAAGCAGCAAACUAGGGCAAGUUAGUGCAAUGUUAAGCAUCACUAGCUACGUCAAGGAUUCACUUUCAAAACUCAACUCGACUCGAUUUUCAAAAGUCCAGAUAACUCUCUUUGGGUCUCACUUCAUUAUAACCCGACACUGGGGCAUUCUUUUUUUUAAAAAAAUAAAAUAAAAAAGCAUCCCUCUACCAUAAGUCUCCAGUAGAAAUUGCUACGGAGCAUUUUCUCAUUCAUGUUCUUUAGAACUAUAUCUCGUCCCUCUAUUCGUGAUAAUCUCUUCAAACCUCACCACCAAAAAAUUUCAGUAUUACCAUAAUUCGAUACUGGGGCAAAUUUUUAACAAAAAAAUUCUAUGUUCCUACGCUCUCGAACUACUUAUGGCCUAAUUUCUCAUGAAACCUGAGAUAUGUAGGCAACUCAGAAACCAGAGUUCGGCCAUAACUCCAUAAACAUUUCUUGCCGAGUUUUGGUCAAGGUGUAUUUUAGUGGGUCGCCUAAAAUUGGAUCGUGUCAAUGUUUCUUUGUCCACGUCUUCUUUACUCUCUUCCACAGAAAAAGAAUGGGGCAAGUUGUUGACACCCAAUUUUGGCUCUCAACAUUUAACUAUAGUAAUUAUAAUAAUAAUAAUAAUAAAAUAUAUAUNNNNNNNNNNNNNNNNNNNNNNNNNNNNNNNNNNNNNNNNNNNNNNNNNNNNNNNNNNNNNNNNNNNNNNNNNNNNNNNNNNNNNNNNNNNNNNNNNNNNNNNNNNNNNNNNNNNNNNNNNNNNNNNNNNNNNNNNNNNNNNNNNNNNNNNNNNNNNNNNNNNNNNNNNNNNNNNNNNNNNNNNNNNNNNNNNNNNNNNNNNNNNNNUUUUUUUUUGUUCAAAUAUAAUUUCUUUUGUCGCAAUAGAUAUUUUUCUUACAUUGUUUAAAAGUAGAAAGCUUAAUUAAUUAAUGAGUUACUAAUUUAUAUUAAUUUAAUUUUAAGAGUGACUAAUUUUAUCAAAUAAGCUAGUUUUGCAAAAUAAUUAAUUUUAAUUUAAUAAAUUAUAGUUAGUUAAUAAAGAAGAGGUCAUAAUUUAAAUGAAUUUAAUUUGAACAAAACUUGGCAAUCCAAGUCCCCUUAAACCGGCCAAUCUGUGUGUGCCACGUAGGUGAGCACAUGGAUUGUGCUUCUUAACUUUUAAUCUCAACCCUCUAUUUUAAUCCAACGACUUUAAUUAAUUCAUCUUUUUAAUAUAUAACUAGUUUUUCGACACGUGCGUUGCACGUGAUUAUCAAUUCACAAAAUUUAUGUGAAGAUUUGAAUAAUAAUGUUUGCACAAUAUAAUAUUGCAGAUUCUUUUGUGAAUAUUCAGCGUGGAUCGUCAUAUGUAUCUCUUAUUCAAACGAACCUAUGAAGAUGGUCAAUGAAAAAAUUGAUUAGUUAAAUGCAAUAAUGUAUAUAUUUAUUUCAAUGUGAUGAGGCUCAAUCAUGUAAUUAGUCGUAUCUCACCAAUAUUACCUUAUAGACUAUAUUUGUUGUGUAUUUUUCUUGUCAUGUAACCAAAUGUUCUUUGCACAUGUAUUCCACUUAAUCUGUUUAGAUGUCAUAUGAACAUGUUGAGAACAACUACAUUUUAUUUUUUAGAACUAUAUUUGUAUAUUAAUUUUUAUUUUAUAAGUUAUAACAUAAUAGAUGACGUUAUUUUUAUUGGCUCUCAUAUUUGACAUCUCGAUUGACUGUGUAUUCCUUUUUUUUACUGAAAAACUAAAAAUUAAAAUUAAAGAAUAUAUUCUAUCUGUGAAAUCAUAUAUAUAAUCACAUGUUUAUCUUACACCCAACAAAGAUAUAGUUCAUAUACUUGUACACAAUUUUCAAUUUAUUCGUCCAAAGAAAAAUAACAACACUAUGUUAUCACAUAUAUAGGGUGGUAUAAUAAUAUGAAAAAUCAUUGGUCAAAAGUUAAUAUAAGGAAAGAUGAAUGAUAGAAAUAAUUAAUGUAAUAACUAUGUGAAUUCAUAGUAUUAUUACUAAAGAAAGUAAAAGAGUGUGAAUAAUAUUUGCAAUAAUUAGUAAUAUCAUAUACUUACACAAAUAAAUAGGAGAUUUAAUUAAAAAAUUAUUUUGUUAAUGAUAAAUUUUAAAUGAGUCACAUAUUUUCACUUUUGUUGUGAGUUUUUUUUUUUAAAAAAAACUCAAAAAUUUUAAAAUAAUAUAUUUUGACGUUAAAAGAUCUUGUUAACUUGAUAAUACAUUCGUGACAUAUAUAAAUCCCCUACCCCAAAUAUAUAUAUAUAUAUAUAUAUAUAUAUAUCAUAAAAAAUAACUAUUAAAUAAAUUUUAAAAAAAUAAAACAAAUAAAGAUUAGAAGUCAUAUAAACUUUUCUUCGUCGAAAAUACAGUAAAAUUAAGAAAUAGUACAUUAAUAAAAGAAAAGGACAAUGUUUACAUAGUAAUAACUAUUUUGAAGCAAACUUACUGGCAAUCUAAAUCACAUAAGUAGCAUUGAUAAAUAAAACUAUUAUGUUGUAUUAAGUACCAAAAUAACAAAUCAUGAGAAUUUUCUAACUCUUGAGAAGUUUAAUAGUUUUGGAAAAAGAUAUUCAGAAACAUAUAUCUAUAUCACAAGAGAAAUUGUUAACAAAAACAAAUGAAUUCAGGCUACAAUAAAAAUUAAACUAAUAUAAAUUUCAAUUGGCGUUAUUACAAAUCAUAUGGACUUUUCUUCGUCGAAAAUACUCAAAUAUUAAGAAAUAGUAAAUCAGUUAAAAAAGGGCAAUGUUUAUAUAGUAACAACUAUUUUGAAGUAAAUUUCCUAACAAUCUAAAUCACAUAAAUAGCAUUGAUAAAUAAAGUCAUUAUUUUGUCUUGGACAUCAAAAAAUAAAUCGUGACAAUUCUCUAACUCUGGAGAAGUUUAAUAAUUUUGGAAAAAGAUAUUCAGAAACAUAUUUCUACAUCACAAGAGAAAUUGUUAACAAAAACAAAUGAAUUUAAACUACAAUAAAAAUUAAUAUAAUACAAACUUCAACUGACAUUAUUACAAGUCAUAUAAAUUUUUCUUCGUCGAAAAAUACUUAAAUAUUAAGAAAUAGGAAAUCAGUAAAACAAAAGGGAAAUGUUUAUAUAGUAAUAACUAUUUUGAAGAAAACUUCUUGAUAAUCUAAACCACAUAAUUAGCAUUGAUAAAUAAAGUUAUUCUUUUGUCUUGAGCAUAAAAAAAACAAAUCAUGACAAAUCUCUAACUCUUAAGAAGUUUAAUAAUAUUUGAAUAAGAUAUUCAGAAGCAUAUAUCUACAUCACAAGAGAAAUUAUUAAAAAAAAAAAAAAAGUUAGACUACAUCAUGUUAACUUCACAUAUUGGAACAUUACAUACUUAUGUAUAUACUAAACAAAAAGAUGAUUAUUAUAUCAUCAGAAUUUUUUUCCUCAAGUACUUGAGGUUAAGGAAUAUACCAUCUUAGGAUAGAACAAUUUACUUCAUCAGAAUAGUGGAACCUCAUAUUCCACUAAACUUCUAACUCACUCAACGAAUAUAAAUCACAAGAAAUUUAUUAAAAUACAUAAAGAAGAAGAGUACAAGAUUAAAAAAAAAAUGGGUUUGAAAAAUGAGAGGAAACCCCUUUACUUAUAGUCAACAAAGGAUAGUAUGAACAAGUAUUUUUGUGUCUUAUCUUAAAAGUCGUGAUCUUUUCGAGAAGUCACAAUCCUUUGGAAAAGUAACAACUUAUUGAAAAAUUUACAACUCUUUGGAAAAGUCACAACUCAUCGCAAACUCAAACCCUUUGAAAAAAAGUCACAACUUAUCAGAAAAGUCACAAUUACCAAAAAAGUCACAACCUAAGUUAGGGAUAUUAUAGUAAUUUAACAUUCGAGUUAGGAGUUCAUGCGUUUAAGGUAAUAUAGAUAUAGAUUAUUAUCAAAUAUAUAUAUAUAUAUAUAUAUAUAUAUUAUUAAUCUUUUUUAGCCCUUGAUUUUUAUUAACCGUCCGAUCAAACGAUCGGACGGUCGAGAUCAAACCAAAGACUUUUAGACCCCUACACCGCCCUACUAUUCCCAGAAAUCACACUCUUCUUCCCAAAUGUCUUCUCCAUCACGUUUACCCUCCCACACCUCUUCCUCUUCCCCAAAAACCAAUGCCCCAAGCUCCUCUCCCAUCGUCCCAUCACCGCCCCACGUGAUCCCCCACCCCCUUCGUUAGAAAUGGCUCUGGGCUGCCGGAAAAAUGUCAAUUCCGGCAGUUCCUUGCCCCAUCUAUCACUCACCCUUUUCAAUCAAUCCGGAAAAAAAAAGAUAUUCCAAGGUUUUUCUUCUUCUUCUUCAUAAUUGCUUUCCUGUUUGCUCUGAGAUGGGGGUAUUCCAAGAAUUCAAAUUUUGAAUUCUUGGAGCCCAAAUUAGCUAUAAAAGGGAACCAUUUGGUUCUCAUAUAAGAAUCCAUCAACAUCCGCGAAUUAGGGAGAAAAUCCAAGAAUCAAUCAAGAACUACCCAAAAAGGAGAGCAAAAAUCGCAGCCACCUCAAGCUUUUUUUAGAGUUCAAAAGUUCUUUUCUGGUCCUUCUAUUUUUAGUUUUGAAUUCGAGUUCGAGGAAGCUCUAAGUUGGAAUUCUUGACGACAAAGUUGUAGUUUGCUGCUCUUGAAAAGGUAUGCAACCUCACCCUUCUUUAAGCCUUUGUUCAUCUUUUUCGCUUAUAGUCUAUUUUUUUAGUUGCAUAAAGAUUAGAAUUCUUCAUCUUGGCUGGAGUUUUCGAUUUUGAUUUCUCUUAGCUGAAUAUAAUCUGAUUAUGUAUGAAUUCUAAAGUAUAUUCUGAGUUGAUUUCCUGAUUGUAACUCACUACGGUUCUCAUUUUAGUCUCCAUAGUUUUAUCUUGAUUAGUUUCGAAUUAUUCCACUCGUCUUAGUUUUAUUCCUACCUUUUAUACAUUUGUGACCUUGAUUAGUGUCCAAUAUCAUGGUUUUUGCCUCUCUUCACGCUUAAUUUGGAUGCUUGAACCAGCCUGCUAAUCGUUUGCAUCUUCAUGAUCUGUGUUGAGAUUUCUUUGUUUAAAC